AACCGACUCUAUUCAGAAAACAUUCCCUUCCUCCUCCUGGAAGCUUCUGACGGAGUUGGUGGCCGCGUCCGCACUGACGUCGUUGACGGCUUCUUAUUGGACCGAGGCUUCCAAAUUUUCAUCACUGCCUACCNNNNNGGCUCAAAAACUCCUUGAUUACCAAGCUUUGGAUCUGCAGAAGUUUUACUCAGGUGCCCGGAUUUAUUUCGAUGGUCAGUUCCACACCGUGGCUGAUCCUAUACGCC
This 245-nucleotide unclassified non-coding RNA is filed under the name Hevea brasiliensis (rubber tree). Lineage: Eukaryota; Viridiplantae; Streptophyta; Magnoliopsida; Malpighiales; Euphorbiaceae. The record is from RNAcentral.